Molecule: long non-coding RNA, 2372 nt
Organism: Paramormyrops kingsleyae
Lineage: Eukaryota; Metazoa; Chordata; Actinopteri; Osteoglossiformes; Mormyridae
Source: RefSeq, a predicted model, not a curated record
UUGAGCUCAUAUUAUACGGUCAUUCAGGCAAUAGAAAGUCACUGGCAUUUCCUUGAACUGACUGACUGGGUUUAGGAGCACAAAACAAAGAUUAAGUAUCGUGACAUAUUUGAUGUAUUUAUCUUUGUUGAAAAGAGAUUCAUACUUGACUUCGCGUAAAACACAAGGCAACUGUAGCACUUAUUCAAAGAAUCUAUGAUUGUGCCAGGGAAUCAUUAUUUCGCGAUUUUACUGGAGGAACACAGUAGGGUCCGACGGUUAAGAAUUAAGAUUCAAAUGCGAAAAACCUAGAGAAAUUUGGCUUAGUAUAAAUUCAGAUGGGGCGGAUACAUCAAAAGUCCCGCGUUUCUAGUUCAUUUCCAAACAGUAGCGCAUUCAAUAACAUCACAUUGCGAAUAUAGUCCUUGACCUAUUUUAUCCGUGGCAGAUUUCCACAUGAAUCCUGAGCUUCUUAUAAUAUCAUUACCUUAAAUUGCUAGCAUAAAUAACACGUUUUUGACCGAAGGUAUUAUUUAGGAAUGUUUUACUCUUCCUGUCUCUCGCUGUAUGAGCGAUCUUAUUCAUCUGAAUCCCGUUAUUAGUGCAGGCAAUGGUAAGCGGAGAUUCAUCCUCCUAGUUCUAGUUGCAGCCGGAUUUGCGCGUCGCAGACAUGCGCGGACGCGGUUCACCUGCGGGUAAUUUCAGCCUGACUGGGGGACUGGGACCACCAAGUCCGGCGUCUGCGAAAACAUAGCACCGAAUGAAAUCCUGUGACAAUCGCACAGGCAUCGCCACUCGCCGGGCUUAAACCUUUCCGCUUAUUCGGGGUUAGCUUUGAUUUCAGUAAAAUAUUGAUUUGACUUCUGUAGUCUGCUAUUAAGACACCCUCCAAAGACCGGUCAUGAAUAAGCACGUUGAUUAUAAUUAUGUCUACGGUUAUAAUUGCAUCUACGAUUUAUCAUGGAUAUGGGACAAGUAAAGAUGGAACCUUAUGCACCCUGUGGGGGCAGAUACCUACCUCCCUGCCUCUUGACAGAAAAGCAUUGUCUGAUCAAGAUGAUGGACACACCGUGUCCCUAACCUCUCAACACUUUCUCUUAUGAGGAGAACACAGCUAAGAACGCCCCAUAUACAGACUAAGCCAAAGGAAUGCAUCAUUCUCAGAAUUCAUAUCAAGAUUCAGGCCCAUAUGUACGAGACCUAUGGCACAAUGAAGAACGCUGGACUGUGGCAGAGCGCCGCCAGAGCUCUGGACCCGAGCAUGGCCUGUGUGACUCAGAUUGGGUUUCUCCGCUGAAUAACUGGAAUUGGAAUCCCUGCCAAGCUUCUAAACUGUGCUGUCAGCAGAUGGCAAGACGGACAGUGAGAACUGACAAUGGGCCUGUCAUCGUCAGGCAAAAUAAAGGGCUACACCGUCACUAUAGGCAAAAGACCGACUCGUGCACAGGAGAGCAAAGGAGGGGAAAAAAGACACCUAGAGAGACACAGGUGCCAAGACAGCCUGUGUCUGUUCUAGAAAGAACGUUGUUUACUUUGCUCCAAGUGAAAAGCUAGAAGUUGUCAUAAUUCAUUUUACUUUCUCAAGAGCCAGGUACUAAGCGAAAAUAACUUAAUUUACACUGGGAAUCAGAAUAUUUCCAACCCACUGUUGUUUAAUGGGCUGUUCCCUUGCACACUUCCAUCCAAACAUGACAUGUGAAGGCUGGACUGAAUUUACCAGACAAGUAGCCCCUGAGCGGCAGGUUUCAGACUCAGGUUCCCUGCAAGGAGAAGAGGGAGGGGCUCACGCCAUCUGCCUGAAUGACAGUUACAGUACUUUUGCUUGAAACUCCUUCAAAGAAGAUGUUGAGGAUUCAAGGCCCUUUUUCACAUAAAUGUAUAAAUUUCCUUAAUUUAAUAAAAAAAACAAUCUGGAUUAUUUAGAUUAUUUUAUCUAGGAAGGAAUGGCAUUAUUAUCCUCAACAUGAAAACCAUACAUCGAUUUAUGAUCAACAUCUACAUGACUUUUUUGUUCUUAUGAUUCUUGCCUUUUAGUAUUAAAGCCUGACAUAUCAACAUAAAUUGAGCCUAAGUACAGUCUUGCACCUACAGUCUUAAAUGAGUUAAUAUACAGAUAUAAUAUAAUGAUGUAUACACAUAUAUGCAGUACAUAUAUUUUCAAGUAGAAGGGCAACUGUAAUGUGCAAUAGGAGAAAUAAUUUUUCCCCAACCAAAUUAAAAACAACAGCACUAUAUAGAAGCAAAAUCUUAAAUUAUAAGCCUUCGCUGACAAGUGGUAUGUGAACAUUAAAAACAGCACCACCACUUAGUAACUUAACGGCAGUGGCUGCGCAAUAUUCACUAUUUUAAUGUAGCAUUCUUACGCCACACCCACAAUUACGUUUCAAAUGUAG